RNAcentral lists this non-coding RNA (28 nucleotides) under Homo sapiens (human). Lineage: Eukaryota; Metazoa; Chordata; Mammalia; Primates; Hominidae. The record is from RNAcentral.
GAACUAUGCCAAGAUAGGUAAUGGAUGA